Ctenopharyngodon idella (grass carp) is the source of this 213-nucleotide small nucleolar RNA. RefSeq annotates it as small nucleolar RNA U3. The transcript has a single exon. The record is from RefSeq and is a predicted model, not a curated record. Lineage: Eukaryota; Metazoa; Chordata; Actinopteri; Cypriniformes; Xenocyprididae.
AAGACUAUACUUUCAGGGAUCAUUUCUAUAGUUCUUAACUAGGAAAUGUACUAUGAACGUGUUAAGUCUCCCAACCCACGAUGAUGAGUGAUAAUGUACUCCUCUGAGCGUGAAUCGGAUAGUGAUCUGUGAUUUCAUUACGGAAAACUAUCAUUGAUGACCGUUCAUUAGUUCUUUCAGAGCUUAUGAGGAGGAGUGCAUGAUCAGAGUGGU